ACGGGUAGCCGGCCUGAGAGGGUGAUCGGCCACACUGGGACUGAGACACUGCCCAGACUCCUACGGGAGGCUGCAGUCGAGAAUCAUUGUCAAUGCACGAAAGUGUGAACAUGCGACGCCGCGUGGAGGAAGACGGCCUUUGGGUUGUAAACUCCUGUCAGCAGGGAAGAAGGGUGGCAUUGCUAACAGUAAUGUCAUUUGACGGUACCUGCAGAGGAAGUCACGGCUAACUCUGUGCCAGCAGCCGCGGUAAUACAGAGGUGGCGAACGUUGUUCGGAUUUACUGGGCGUAAAGGGUCCGCAGGCGGCUUGGUGUGUCGGAUGUGAAAGCUCACGGCUUAACCGUGGAAUUGCAUUCGAAACUGCCGAGCUAGAGUAUUGGAGGGGAGAAGGGAACACUUGGUGUAGCGGUGAAAUGCGUAGAUAUCAAGUGGAACACCGGUGGCGAAGGCGCUUCUCUGGACAAAUACUGACGCUCAUGGACGAAAGUUAGGGUAGCGAAAGGGAUUAGAUACCCCUGUAGUCCUAACCGUAAACGGUGUGCACUAGACGUGGGUGGAUUUACCCCCAUCCGUGUCUGAGCUAACGCAUUAAGUGCACCGCCUGGGGAGUACGGUCGCAAGAUUAAAACUCAAAGGAAUUGACGGGGACCCGCACAAGCGGUGGAGCAUGUGGCUUAAUUCGAUGCAACGCGAAGAACCUUACCUGGGCUUGACAUAUAGCUGCAUACGACCUGAAAGGGACGUAGCCUUCGAGGGUGCUAUACAGGUGCUGCAUGGCUGUCGUCAGCUCGUGCCGUGAGGUGUUGGGUUAAGUCCCGCAACGAGCGCAACCCCUAUGUUUAGUUGCCAGCACGUAAUGGUGGGAACUCUAGACAGACUGCCUGUGAAAACAGGAGGAAGGUGGGGAUGACGUCAAGUCAGUAUGGUCCUUAUGCCCAGGGCUGCACACGUGCUACAAUGGGUGAUACAAUAGGAAGCUAAGCCGCGAGGUGGCGCAAAUCCUCAAAAUCACCCCCAGUUCGGAUUGGAGUCUGAAACUCGACUCCAUGAAGUUGGAAUCGCUAGUAAAGGUGUAUCAGCUACGACACCUUGAAUACGUUCCCGGGUCUUGUACACACCGCCCGUCACAUCAUGGGAGUCGGUUGUACCCGAAGUCGCUGAUCCAACCUGUUAAAAGGAGGAAGGCGCCGAAGGUGUGAUUGAUAACUGGGAUGAAGUCGAAACAAGGUA
This 1232-nucleotide ribosomal RNA is filed under the name metagenome. RNAcentral describes it as "bacterial SSU rRNA". It matches the Rfam family "Bacterial small subunit ribosomal RNA", at positions 279 to 1498 of the family's 1533-position model. The record is from RNAcentral.